CUCGAUACAAGACUGGAUCUAUUCCCCAUUCUUUCGAGCCGUUUAUUCCUAAAUGCGUAUAUAAAUCUGCUUUGUAUCUUAAUCGUUUAUGUAUCCCAGAAUUUAUUAUACCAUCUCUUAGAACAUGAACUUAUGUUUCAUUGAAAAAGUUGUAAAUAAAAAUGAUGUGGUCGUCUUUGUUUUCAAUUACUGCACUGGCUUUUUCCGAACAACUAGGAAUUAUUUUCCUUAUUACACCAUCUGCAAUAAUUCUCCAGAGUCCUUCGAUUUCACUUCCUGUUUUUCCAUAUAACAUCGAUUUGCCACUGGUGAAUGAAUAUUCUUCUGCAAG
Molecule: long non-coding RNA, 331 nt
Filed under: Mytilus galloprovincialis (Mediterranean mussel)
Lineage: Eukaryota; Metazoa; Mollusca; Bivalvia; Mytilida; Mytilidae
Source: RNAcentral